Molecule: ribosomal RNA, 200 nt
Filed under: uncultured bacterium
Lineage: Bacteria
Description: partial 16S ribosomal RNA
Rfam family: Bacterial small subunit ribosomal RNA
Source: RNAcentral
AACGAACGCUGGCGGCAGGCUUAACACAUGCAAGUCGAACGCCCCGCAAGGGGAGUGGCAGACGGGUGAGUAACGCGUGGGAAUCUACCUAGUUCUACGGAACAACACAGGGAAACUUGUGCUAAUACCGUAUACGCCCUACGGGGGAAAGAUUUAUCGGAAUUAGAUGAGCCCGCGUAAGAUUAGCUAGUUGGUGGGGU